This 253-nucleotide ribosomal RNA is filed under the name uncultured bacterium. Its description in RNAcentral is "partial 16S ribosomal RNA". It matches the Rfam family "Bacterial small subunit ribosomal RNA", at positions 524 to 776 of the family's 1533-position model. The record is from RNAcentral.
UACGGGGGGGGCAAGCGUUGUUGGGAAUUACUGGGCGUAAAGGGCUCGUAGGCGGCCAACUAAGUCGGACGUGAAAUCCCUCGGCUUAACCGGGGAACUGCGUCCGAUACUGGAUGGCUCGAGUGUGGGAGAGGGAUGCGGAAUUCCAGGUGUAGCGGUGAAAUGCGUAGAUAUCUGGAGGAACACCGGUGGCGAAGGCGGCAUCCUGGACCACGACUGACGCUGAUGAGCGAAAGCCAGGGGAGCAAACGGG